Molecule: ribosomal RNA, 500 nt
Filed under: uncultured Glomeromycotina
Lineage: Eukaryota; Fungi; Glomeromycota
Description: partial small subunit ribosomal RNA
Rfam family: Eukaryotic small subunit ribosomal RNA
Source: RNAcentral
CCAAUAGCGUAUAUUAAAGUUGUUGCAGUUAAAAAGCUCGUAGUUGAACUUCGGGAUCAAUGGAACGGUCAUGCCAUAGGUAUGUACUGGUCUCAUUGGUUCUCACCUUCUAAGGAAACAUAAUGUAAUUCAUUUGAUGUUUUGGGGAAUUAGGACUGUUACCUUGAAAAAAUUAGAGAGUUUAAAGCAGGCUAACGCUUGAAUACAUUAGCAUGGGAUAAUGAAAGAGGACAUAGCAUUCUAUUUUGUUGGUUUCUAGGAUCGAUGUAAUGAUUAAUAGGGAUAGUUGGGGGCAUUAGUAUUCAAUUGUCAGAGGUGAAAUUCUUGGAUUUAUUGAAGACUAACUACUGCGAAAGCAUUUGCCAAGGAUGUUUUCAUUAAUCAAGAACGAAAGUUAGGGGAUCGAAGACGAUCAGAUACCGUCGUAGUCUUAACCAUAAACUAUGCCGACUAGGGAUCGGAUGAUGUUGAUUUUUUAAUGACUCAUUCGGCACCUUACG